RNAcentral lists this ribosomal RNA (761 nucleotides) under Microbacteriaceae bacterium. RNAcentral's name for it is "bacterial SSU rRNA". It matches the Rfam family "Bacterial small subunit ribosomal RNA", at positions 48 to 822 of the family's 1533-position model. Lineage: Bacteria; Bacillati; Actinomycetota; Actinomycetes; Micrococcales; Microbacteriaceae. The record is from RNAcentral.
UUAACACAUGCAAGUCGAACGGUGAAAGAGAGCUUGCUCUCUGGAUCAGUGGCGAACGGGUGAGUAACACGUGAGCAAUCUGCCCUUGACUCUGGGAUAAGCGCUGGAAACGGCGUCUAAUACCGGAUACGAGCUGCGAAGGCAUCUUCAGCAGCUGGAAAGAACUUCGGUCAAGGAUGAGCUCGCGGCCUAUCAGCUAGUUGGUGAGGUAACGGCUCACCAAGGCGUCGACGGGUAGCCGGCCUGAGAGGGUGACCGGCCACACUGGGACUGAGACACGGCCCAGACUCCUACGGGAGGCAGCAGUGGGGAAUAUUGCACAAUGGGCGCAAGCCUGAUGCAGCAACGCCGCGUGAGGGACGACGGCCUUCGGGUUGUAAACCUCUUUUAGCAGGGAAGAAGCGAAAGUGACGGUACCUGCAGAAAAAGCACCGGCUAACUACGUGCCAGCAGCCGCGGUAAUACGUAGGGUGCAAGCGUUAUCCGGAAUUAUUGGGCGUAAAGAGCUCGUAGGCGGUUUGUCACGUCUGCUGUGAAAACGCGAGGCUCAACCUCGCGCCUGCAGUGGGUACGGGCAGACUAGAGUGCGGUAGGGGAGAUUGGAAUUCCUGGUGUAGCGGUGGAAUGCGCAGAUAUCAGGAGGAACACCGAUGGCGAAGGCAGAUCUCUGGGCCGUAACUGACGCUGAGGAGCGAAAGGGUGGGGAGCAAACAGGCUUAGAUACCCUGGUAGUCCACCCCGUAAACGUUGGGAACUAGUUG